CAGGACGAACGCUGGCGGCGUGCUUAACACAUGCAAGUCGAACGGACCGAGUUGAUAGCUUGCUAUUGAUGAGGUUAGGUGGCAAACGGGUGAGUAACGCGUAGGCAACCUGCCCUUCAGAUGGGGACAACACCUCGAAAGGGGUGCUAAUACCGAAUGACGUUUCCUAGUCGCAUGACCUGGAAACCAAAGGCCGGGCAACCGGUCACUGAAGGAUGGGCCUGCGUCUGAUUAGCUAGUUGGUGGGGUAACGGCCCACCAAGGCGACGAUCAGUAGCCGGUCUGAGAGGAUGAACGGCCACAUUGGGACUGAGACACGGCCCAAACUCCUACGGGAGGCAGCAGUGGGGAAUCUUCCGCAAUGGGCGCAAGCCUGACGGAGCAACGCCGCGUGAGUGAAGAAGGUUUUCGGAUCGUAAAGCUCUGUUGUCGGGGACGAAUGUUGAGACUUAGAACAUAAGUUUCAAAUGACGGUACCUGACGAGGAAGCCACGGCUAACUACGUG
This 506-nucleotide ribosomal RNA is filed under the name uncultured bacterium. Its description in RNAcentral is "bacterial SSU rRNA". It matches the Rfam family "Bacterial small subunit ribosomal RNA", at positions 25 to 507 of the family's 1533-position model. The record is from RNAcentral.